GAUUGACCUCGGAUUAGGUAGGGAUACCCGCUGAACUUAAGCAUAUCAAU
RNAcentral lists this ribosomal RNA (50 nucleotides) under Tetracladium sp. 1 MV-2011. RNAcentral's name for it is "partial 28S ribosomal RNA". The record is from RNAcentral. Lineage: Eukaryota; Fungi; Ascomycota; Leotiomycetes; Helotiales.